Molecule: ribosomal RNA, 253 nt
Filed under: uncultured bacterium
Lineage: Bacteria
Description: partial 16S ribosomal RNA
Rfam family: Bacterial small subunit ribosomal RNA
Source: RNAcentral
UACGUAGGGGGCAAGCGUUGUCCGGAUUUACUGGGCGUAAAGAGCGUGUAGGCGGCCACGCAGGUCCGUUGUGAAAACUGGAGGCUCAACCUCCAGCUGUCGACGGAAACCGUGUGGCUAGAGUCCGGAAGAGGAGAGUGGAAUUCCUGGUGUAGCUGUGAAAUGCGCAGAUAUCAGGAAGAACACCAAUGGCGAAGGCAGCUCUCUGGGACGGUACUGACGCUGAGACGCGAAAGCGUGGGGAGCGAACAGG